UGUGGUUAUUUGCCAGCACGUAAUGGUGGGAACUCUAAGGAGACUGCCGGUGACAAACCGGAGGAAGGUGGGGACGACGUCAAGUCAUCAUGGCCCUUAUGACCAGGGCUACACACGUGCUACAUGGGACGUACAGAGGGUUGCUAAGCCGCGAGGUGGAGCCAAUCCCAGAAAACGUUUCGUAGUCCGGAUCGAAGUCUGCAACUCGACUUCGUGAAGUCGGAAUCGCUAGUAAUCGCGAAUCAGCAUGUCGCGGUGAAUACGUUC
RNAcentral lists this ribosomal RNA (267 nucleotides) under unidentified gamma proteobacterium groupE. RNAcentral's name for it is "partial 16S small subunit ribosomal RNA". It matches the Rfam family "Bacterial small subunit ribosomal RNA", at positions 1106 to 1373 of the family's 1533-position model. The record is from RNAcentral. Lineage: Bacteria; Pseudomonadati; Pseudomonadota; Gammaproteobacteria.